RNAcentral lists this ribosomal RNA (419 nucleotides) under uncultured eukaryote. RNAcentral describes it as "SSU rRNA". It matches the Rfam family "Eukaryotic small subunit ribosomal RNA", at positions 592 to 1017 of the family's 1831-position model. The record is from RNAcentral.
CAAUAGCGUAUAUUUAAGUUGUUGCAGUUAAAAAGCUCGUAGUUGGAUUUCGGGUGCGGCAGGCCGGUCCGCCGUUUCGGUGUGCACUGGCAGGCGGCAUCUUUCUGUCGAGGACGCGCUCCUGGUCUUAACUGAUCGGGACGCGGAGUCGGCGCUGUUACUUGAAAAAAUUAGAGUGUUCAAAGCGGGCCUACGCUUGAAUAUAUUAGCAUGGAAUAACACCAUAGGACUUCGUUCCUAUUCUGUUGGUCUUCGGGAAGGAAGUAAUGAUUAAGAGGAACAGUUGGGGGCAUUCGUAUUUCAUUGUCAGAGGUGAAAUUCUUGGAUUUAUGAAAGACGAACUUCUGCGAAAGCAUUUGCCAAGGAUGUUUUCAUUAAUCAAGAACGAAAGUUGGGGGCUCGAAGAUGAUUAGAUACCG